AGAGUUUGAUCCUGGCUCAGGACGAACGCUGGCGGCGCGCCUAACACAUGCAAGUCGAACGAGCGAGAGAGAGCUUGCUUUCUCAAGCGAGUGGCGAACGGGUGAGUAACGCGUGAGGAACCUGCCUCAAAGAGGGGGACAACAGUUGGAAACGACUGCUAAUACCGCAUAAGCCCACAGGUCGGCAUCGACCAGAGGGAAAAGGAGCAAUCCGCUUUGAGAUGGCCUCGCGUCCGAUUAGCUAGUUGGUGAGGUAAUGGCCCACCAAGGCAACGAUCGGUAGCCGGACUGAGAGGUUGAACGGCCACAUUGGGACUGAGACACGGCCCAGACUCCUACGGGAGGCAGCAGUGGGGAAUAUUGCACAAUGGGGGAAACCCUGAUGCAGCGACGCCGCGUGGAGGAAGAAGGUCUUCGGAUUGUAAACUCCUGUUGUUGAGGAAGAUAAUGACGGUACUCAACAAGGAAGUGACGGCUAACUACGUGCCAGCAGCCGCGGUAAAACGUAGGUCACAAGCGUUGUCCGGAAUUACUGGGUGUAAGGGAGCGCAGGCGGGAAGACAAGUUGGAAGUGAAAUCUAUGGGCUCAACCCAUAAACUGCUUUCAAAACUGUUUUUCUUGAGUAGUGCAGAGGUAGGCGGAAUUCCCGGUGUAGCGGUGGAAUGCGUAGAUAUCGGGAGGAACACCAGUGGCGAAGGCGGCCUACUGGGCACCAACUGACGCUGAGGCUCGAAAGUGUGGGUAGCAAUCAGGAUUAGAUACCCUGGUAGUCCACACCGUAAACGAUGAUUACUAGGUGUUGGAGGAUUGACCCCUUCAGUGCCGCAGUUAACACAAUAAGUAAUCCACCUGGGGAGUACGACCGCAAGGUUGAAACUCAAAGGAAUUGACGGGGGCCCGCACAAGCAGUGGAGUAUGUGGUUUAAUUCGACGCAACGCGAAGAACCUUACCAAGUCUUGACAUCCUGCGACGCACAUAGAAAUAUGUGUCUCCUUCGGGACGCAGAGACAGGUGGUGCAUGGUUGUCGUCAGCUCGUGUCGUGAGAUGUUGGGUUAAGUCCCGCAACGAGCGCAACCCUUACUGUCAGUUACUACGCAAGAGGACUCUGGCAGGACUGCCGUUGACAAAACGGAGGAAGGUGGGGAUGACGUCAAAUCAUCAUGCCCUUUAUGACUUGGGCUACACACGUACUACAAUGGCGUUAAACAAAGAGAAGCAAGACCGCGAGGUGGAGCAAAACUCAGAAACAACGUCCCAGUUCGGACUGCAGGCUGCAA
RNAcentral lists this ribosomal RNA (1280 nucleotides) under metagenome. Its description in RNAcentral is "bacterial SSU rRNA". It matches the Rfam family "Bacterial small subunit ribosomal RNA", at positions 8 to 1310 of the family's 1533-position model. The record is from RNAcentral.